GAUAGAGAGAAGGGAAGGGAGAGAGAGGCAGUGGGGCAAGAGAUGAUAGAGAGAAGGGAAGGGAGAGAGAGAGAGAGAUGAUAGAGAGAGAGCAAGUCAAAAGCAGAAAGAGGAUUACGUGAAAAGAAUGAAGUUUCGAGUUUUUUCUUGCAUUGUGUAAAACGGCGGCAAGUCAAUCAAGAACUCUGAACCGAACUCUGCUGAUGAAAUUAAUUGACAAACGUUUUUAUAACGAACUGAAGUGACAUAUUACGCAAACACCGACUUAUUUCUAUCGUUUGCUCAUCAAAACUAGGAUAAAGGAAGAGGAGGACGAGGAAAAACGAGGCACAAGAGGGGGAGAGAGAGAAAAGAGCAGGCCAACUAUUUCAGUACUCAACUGGUGCUUGUUUUAUUGAGACACCCACCCACCCAAAAGGAUGAAAAGAACUGUCAACCUUGGCAGUAUUUGAACUCAGAACACGAAGACAGAUGGGCAAUGUAUUGUGUUUUUGAGCCAAACACUUCAUUUCACAUUGCUCCAGUUCCCUCAGCUGGCAAAAAAUGAGUAAUCCAGCGACAGACUGGCAUCCCAUCCAGGUGGGGAAUUUAUACACCAUGAAAGCCAGGAAAUCGGCUCUUAUGAGUCAGCAUGACUCAAGAAGAAUCCUUUUUGAUACCAACUUGCCUGCGACUACCAUUGGUUCUAUGAUAGAAAACCUCGUUUAUUUUGUUGUUGUUUUUUAAUGAAUUAAUAUUUAAAUUUAAAGCUUUCCAUCAUAAUUUAAUCUAAGAGCCUUUUGUUCAGUAAUAUUUUAAAAUACAUGAGUAAUAAUGAGAAAAAACUCAAUUUAUUUUAUUAAAUUUCUUCCAAAUUCUUGAUUACUUCAAAUUUAAUUACAACACAGGCUGAAUAUUUGACUGACAAUAUGUUCAUGAAAGGGUUACAAACAUGGGUAAGAUUAUUAUGAACUCAUAAUCAAAAUGAUUAUGUAGCAGAAGAAGUAGAGUACUUGGCUAAUGUCAAAAUUUAAAUGAAACAGAAGAAACAAGUGGUGCCAUGUGUUUGCAAAUUUUAAGUACAAAAAAUACACAAAACAAAUAUUUAUAGUAAAGAGUGGGCUUAACAUACAGCAGUAUAUUAACCCACAUUUUUGUCUCAAGCUUUUCUAAACAUGAAAUUCCAUAAUGCAAAAAUCUAUUUUUCCAUUUACUUCCAAACAAUAAACUGAGAUACAGUUGAGCAGAAUUUUUUGAGGUGGGAAACAAAAACAACAAGGAACCACCUUUAUUGCAUGGAAAUAACCAUUUUUCAAACACAAACGGUGAAAAAAUAUAUUAGGGAAUAAAGAAGAAUAAACAUUUAGUUAUCAUUUCAAUGACCAUCAUGUUUGGCCCAUUAGGUCCAGUUUGAUUGUUAAUCCACUCACUAAGGUUCUGCUGCAUACUAAGCAUCACAUCACAUGAGAUCUAUGAAAAAGCAAUAUCGGAGCAGUUAAUGGAGUAGCAGCUUAAGAACUUAACGAAAUUGUCACAUUGCUCCCAUAGCACAUGUUGCAAGCAUUAAUGUUUUUGCAGUAUGGCAGAGUCCUUCUUCCACAUCAAACCUUUGUAAAGCAUCAAGUUUAACAUUUAAUGUACUGCUUUUUAUGAGUGCCUUUCACACUAUUGCCUUUACUUUUACUUGAUGGUCUCUUUCUGGUUAUCUUCAAUAAGGCUAAUGCAUCACUCCAGCUGUAUUGCAUAUUUGUAGAAGUUAAAAUCCAGCAACAGCAGCAAUAGACAAGAAAUCUAAAGCUACACAACUCUGGCGAUAAACUAGAAAUGCAGUGGUGGUGAUGAUGGCCAAAAUAACCUUACAUCAACAACUGAAAAUGAUGGACAAGACAUUCACCUAGAAUAUGUUAUUUUCAAAAAGAAAAAAAAAAGAUAGGAGUAGCUUGCUUACCAACCACAUGAUUCCGGGUUCAGUCCCACUGUGUGGCACCUUAGGCAAGUGUCUUCUACUAUAGCCUCGGGCCGACCAAAGCCUUGUGAGUGGAUUUGGUAGACGGAAACUGAAAGAAGCCUGCGCUAAAGGACGAUGAUGAUGAAGAUGAUUAUCUCAUAACUUUUGAGAUUUCAAUGAUGUGAUUGUUUAUUUUUUAGAAUGACAUUGCAGGGUAGGUACGAAAAGCCAGAUCUGGGGGGUCUAAAUAUAAAACAGGUAGAAUAUUUAAAAAAAGAUAUGGCUGCUUUAACCCUUUAGCACUUGAACUGGUCGUAUCUGGCCUUCCAAACCUUCACUACAAUAUCAUUCUAAAAAUAAAUAAUUAGCUUAUCUAAAUCUCAAAGCUACAAGAUAUGCAUGAUCAAUUAAAAACAAUGUGAAUAAAUAAGCAUUACAUUUGAUGGAGCAGUCUAAAUCCUAAAGAGUUAAACUAAAUACAUCACAUAUUCAGUAUUUUCUCCACAAUAUGAAAAUAAGGCAAACACUAAAUAAGUCAAUCCCAGGAGAAAACACAAGUUAA
Molecule: long non-coding RNA, 2489 nt
Organism: Octopus bimaculoides (California two-spot octopus)
Lineage: Eukaryota; Metazoa; Mollusca; Cephalopoda; Octopoda; Octopodidae
Source: RefSeq, a predicted model, not a curated record